AUACGUAGGGGGCUAGCGUUAUCCGGAAUUACUGGGCGUAAAGGGUGCGUAGGUGGUUUCUUAAGUCAGAAGUGAAAGGCUACGGCUCCACCGUAGUAAGCUUUUGAAACUAAGAGACUUGAGUGCAGGAGAGGAGAGUAGAAUUCCUAGUGUAGCGGUGAAAUGCGUAGAUAUUAGGAGGAAUACCAGUUGAGAAGGCGGCUCUCUGGACUGUAACUGACACUGAGGCACGAAAGCGUGGGGAGCAAACAGGAUUAGAUACCCUGGUAGUCCACGCCGUAAACGAUGAGUACUAGCUGUCGGGGGUUACCCCCCUCGGUGGCGCAGCUAACGCAUUAAGUACUCCGCCUGGGAAGUACGCUCGCAAGAGUGAAACUCAAAUGAAUUGACGGGG
This 394-nucleotide ribosomal RNA is filed under the name uncultured bacterium. Its description in RNAcentral is "partial 16S ribosomal RNA". It matches the Rfam family "Bacterial small subunit ribosomal RNA", at positions 523 to 918 of the family's 1533-position model. The record is from RNAcentral.